GACGAACGCUGGCGGCGUGCUUAACACAUGCAAGUCGUACGGUAAGGCCCUUUCGGGGGUCCACGAGUGGCGAACGGGUGAGUAACACGUGAGUAACCUGCCCACAACUUUGGGAUAACGCUAGGAAACUGGUGCUAAUACUGGAUAUGUGCUCCUGCUGCAUGGUGGGGGUUGGAAAGCUUCGGCGGUUGUGGAUGGACUCGCGGCCUAUCAGCUUGUUGGUGGGGUAGUGGCCUACCAAGGCGGUGACGGGUAGCCGGCCUGAGGGGGUGACCGGCCACAUUGGGACUGGGAUACGGCCCAGAGUCCUACGGGAGGCAGCAGGGGGGAAUAUUGCACAAUGGGCGCAAGCCGGAUGCAGCAACGCCGCGCGCGGGAUGACGGCCUUCGGGUUGUAAACCGAUUUCAGCAGGGACGAAGCUUUUUGUGACGGUACCUGCAGAAGAAGCACCGGCUAACUACGUG
This 465-nucleotide ribosomal RNA is filed under the name uncultured bacterium. RNAcentral's name for it is "partial 16S ribosomal RNA". It matches the Rfam family "Bacterial small subunit ribosomal RNA", at positions 28 to 507 of the family's 1533-position model. The record is from RNAcentral.